This 305-nucleotide ribosomal RNA is filed under the name uncultured bacterium. RNAcentral's name for it is "bacterial SSU rRNA". It matches the Rfam family "Bacterial small subunit ribosomal RNA", at positions 337 to 640 of the family's 1533-position model. The record is from RNAcentral.
CCCUACGGGGGGCAGCAGUGAGGAAUAUUGGUCAAUGGUCGGGAGACUGAACCAGCCAAGCCGCGUGAGGGAGGAAGGUACAGAGUAUCGUAAACCUCUUUUGUCAGGGAACAAAGGCGGGGACGUGUCCCCGGAUGAGUGUACCUGAAGAAAAAGCAUCGGCUAACUCCGUGCCAGCAGCCGCGGUAAUACGGAGGAUGCGAGCGUUAUCCGGAUUUAUUGGGUUUAAAGGGUGCGCAGGCGGUCUGUUAAGUCAGCGGUCAAAGCCCGGGGCUCAACCCCGGCCCGCCGUUGUAACUGGCAGG